GGUGGUCCACUCAUAUGGACUAGGAAGAUUGUAAGGCUCCUGUUUAACUUCAGUUAAGGGUGUUGGAGGUUCAAUAGGACCUUCAGGCAAGCUUGAAUCUCCAAGAUCCUUGAACUGGCCCACUGGUUGGGUCUCCCAAAACUUAUGCCUCUUCGACAGUGAGAGAGAUUCUUGUACCUUUCGUGCUAAGGAAUCAAUUGAUACCUCAUUACCGCUUUCUGAAGAUAAGUUACUAUCCGAAGUGAGGUUAUGGUUCUCAGCUGCCUUACUAUCAUCAGCCAUUUUACCAACUUUGGAAUAUUAUUCUCUUGCAAAUGGUUUGCAGUAGAGUGGUGACCGAGAUCUAGGGUUUCAUAAAGUGAUCGACAAAGAUGAUCGGGAGCACCU
Molecule: unclassified non-coding RNA, 387 nt
Filed under: Hevea brasiliensis (rubber tree)
Lineage: Eukaryota; Viridiplantae; Streptophyta; Magnoliopsida; Malpighiales; Euphorbiaceae
Source: RNAcentral